Molecule: ribosomal RNA, 360 nt
Filed under: Triticum aestivum (bread wheat)
Lineage: Eukaryota; Viridiplantae; Streptophyta; Magnoliopsida; Poales; Poaceae
Description: partial small subunit ribosomal RNA
Source: RNAcentral
AUGCUGACCAUAGACCUGCACUAUGAAGACCUUGUUAUUGAUUCUGUACCAGAGGUGAGGGAAAUGAGGGAUCUUAUAGGUGAAUCUGUUUCAACACAGAACCAGCAGGGGAAUAGAACUGAACACCCACACCCAGCUAGCUCAAAAAGAAGGCGUACUUCUUCCAUCAAGGCUGCUUCUAAAGUAGUUUUAAAGACUUCAACAUAUCCCAACAAGCGAAAUGUUGUGUAUGGUACUAUUCGGAGCACUGAUCAAAGAACUAAGGCUGGUGGCAUUGAAUUAGGUGUUGAAUUUGCCAUUGUGCGCAUAUAUCAACCUAUUCUUGAUAAUGAGGAGUUGAUUCAAGAGAAGGAUAAUUGA